UAUACCAAAUAUCAUUUUUCAUUUAACUUAUAAACGAUUUACGAACAUUGCGUCGCGACUAGCAUCGCGUUGUAUCUUGUACGACCAUGUAUAGUAUUCGUUUUCAUUGGAAUUGAGAAGCAUCCCCGAAUUUGGGAUUUUGAAUCAUUCUGCACCGAUGCGAAUUAAUUGUGGUUACCUUGUCGCAACGUGGUCAUGGCCCCGACUGCUUGAAACAUAGUGGUCAGGAUCGUCCCCCCCCUUUACUUUUACUUUUACACCUAUGACAACCUCUUUGAUUCUACGCGUUCGUCAAUUUCGGGACCGGCCACGGUAUUUUCUUCUAUUUAUUUUUUUAUCAAUCCAUUCUCAUUUCCUCCGUAUAAAUUAUUUUUAUUAAAAUUAAGAUUUUUUUUUUACUUAAAAUGUUAUUUUUUCUACCGAUUAGUAAUCGUCGAUCGGUAUUCCGAAGACACUACGUAUUUGCAUUAACAUUCUUGACAAAGGUUUGCUCGAUGUUGUAUGUUUAACGGUAACGUUGACGUAUAUAUUAAGAUAACGCUUAAAAAAAUGGACAAAAUAUAAAUGUUGGGCGUACAGUUUCGAUACUUUCUAAUUUUCAUUUACAAUUAUUUCAUCGUUUAUUAUGCAACGAGUAUCUCGAAAUUGAGCAACAUGAAAUUCGUAAUCCGAAAAUGGGAAUAACGAUUGCAGUAUCGAUCCUGACGAAUAGAUAAAUCGAUCGGGAAAAAGAAAGAGAUACGCGCGUGCCGUUCUGACGAUCGAUAAAAACGGAAGGAAUCGUUUUCUUAGAAGAGGACACUUCUCCGAAUGAAAGACAUAAAACGUGACAAAGUUUGACAGGUGUCUGUAAAACAGUUUCGAUAAAUGUACGAAGAGAUGAAAUAAUUCGUUAUUCGUACAAACGUGUGACCGAUAAGAUUCUCUUUCUUUCUCACCUUUUAUUUUCAUUUGAGCAACAGGUUGACCUAAGAAUGGGUGAUCCUUAGCUUUAUUGGCAUCCCGAUCGCGGUACACGCGACACACGCACACUUUUUUCGUCGAGCACCGAUUCGCGGAAACUGCGUUUCAGGAGCGCGCGACAGACCGCCACGAUGCUACAGAAUGAUCUAACGCGCAUGCGCACUCCCCCUCCGCUGGAUCCAACAUCUCUCAUUCUUUAUUAUACCCUAGCAAACAAGGUCUUCCUGCCUACAAUGAAAUAUAGGUUCAGAUGUUAAAAGUUCUGCAAAUAUACAACCAAUUGCCCAUAUAUCUGUAAAACAACAACGAAUCUCGUAAAAUCAAAGUUUCUAAAGUAUCAUAAAUAUGUAAAAUUAAUUAUGAACAGCAGUAUCUAUAUACACAUAUAAAGAUAUAUGUAAAAAUAAUUACCAAAUCUCUAUGGAGCACCCAGUUGGAAUGUAAAUAGUGAAUACCAUCCAGGAUUUGAUACAACAAAGAUUUGACCAUACCCUUUGGUACCAUAACAGGUUUCUUAUUAGCCUUUGCUGCUCUAUGAAACUUGAUUAUAUGCUACAAGUAAAAAUAAAAAGCUGUUAACUAUUUGCAUGAUUUCACAGAUAUAUUUUCAACCAUUAUAAACAUACCCACAAAUCAUGUUCUGCAAAAUCAAAUAGUAACCAUACUUUGCGGUCAUUAUGCGAUAGAAAAACCCUUAUUAAUGUAAUUACAUUCACAUGUUUUAAUUCCCUAAGUAGCUAUGAAAGCAAGAAAUAAUUAAUACUGAACAUAUAAUGCAUUAAACACAAAAAAAUAAAUACUCACUGCAAUCUCACGACAUGCAGACAUAGAAAGGCCUGUUCCUUCAAUUUGUUUAAGACCAAAAUCCUUUGUAUCUGGCCGAGAUUUUAAUUCACUAUCUGGUACACUAUUUAAAUUUUAUCAAUAUGUAUAUGUACUUGAUUAUAAUAACAGAAGAUGAAGGCAAUACGAUAGAUGAAUGGCAUUGUAUAAAUGAAAUGGUCCAUGUAGUACAAUUAUUGUUACAUAGUUGAAGGAUGUAAUAAAAUAUUUCUCAAA
Osmia lignaria (orchard mason bee) is the source of this 2022-nucleotide non-coding RNA. NCBI's taxonomy places the organism in Eukaryota, Metazoa, Arthropoda, Insecta, Hymenoptera, Megachilidae. The record is from RefSeq and is a predicted model, not a curated record.